GAUCAUGGCUCAGGAUGAACGCUGGCGGCGCGCCUAACACAUGUAAGUCGAACGGCACCCACCCUCGGGUGGAAGCGAGUGGCGAACGGCUGAGUAACACGUGGAGAACCUGCCCCCUCCCCCGGGAUAGCCGCCCGAAAGGACGGGUAAUACCGGAUACCCCGGGGUGCCGCAUGGCACCCCGGCUAAAGCCCCGACGGGAGGGGAUGGCUCCGCGGCCCAUCAGGUAGACGGCGGGGUGACGGCCCACCGUGCCGACAACGGGUAGCCGGGUUGAG
Molecule: ribosomal RNA, 278 nt
Filed under: uncultured bacterium
Lineage: Bacteria
Description: partial 16S ribosomal RNA
Rfam family: Bacterial small subunit ribosomal RNA
Source: RNAcentral